CGCCGACGCUGGUUUGGUUUCAUAGUGUGUCUCUGACAUGGUACAUGAGGAGUCCACGAUGUAUUGCUGUGUCUAAUACAGUAUAUUUGUUGGACUUUCCUCAGUUCGUUUAUCGGGAGACGAGUCGCGUGCUGCAGGUGGCGUGGGAGGAGAACAGGCAUCAGAGGCAGUCAAUAUAACAAGCGAGAUGAUGAUGGUGCAAAGCAAAUAUUCUUAGGCGGUGAAAAGUUUUUGGCAGGGAUACCAGGGGAUUCUAAUAAGCAGCAGGAUCUUCCAUGGCGUCCUUUCUUGUAAACCACAUAUUCCUUUGCAUUGAAGAUGCUGAAUUUCAGCCUGAACUUCUAAUGCAAUCACUGUUCUUCUCACGGGGUAGUAUUUCAUACAGGGUGAGUUCAAAAAACUUGUCGUGCAUAAAGGUUGCUCGGCUGUUUCUGAGGACAUGAUGGUGGUCCAGGAGAAGGCCUCUUGAGAGGACUGGAGGAUUUAUCUUCUGGUCCACUUGGGAAACUUUUCACACCAUCUCACGUCACUGACAAGGAUGAAGGAAGAUCUGAAGACAAUGACAAAAAUUCAAAGUUUGAGCUGGGGGGUGCCAGAUGAUCUUGUUGUGUCAGUUCUGUUAAGAAAUUAGUUGUUCGCACUUGAAGGGACAGAAGAAGCACGGGAUUGACCUUCCCCUUGUAGUGGUGAUCCUAUUAGUAGGGAUGAUAAAUGCAGGCAUAAAGCUUCAGGAAUCUGCAUGUGUCAGGCAAAAGUAGUGACCAACCUAAGUUGGGAGGUGCAGAGAAGGUUCUGGACGAUUUCCAGUGGAGAGAUUUACGGCUGGAAUUGAAGGUUUACAUGCAAUAAAACCUUGCUUGAGAAAUCAACUCACUGGAAUGGAAAAAUAAAUAAAGGUCAAUUAGGCGGUGGGAAACUGGGAAUGCAAAGUGGAUGAUGGAUAAUGUAGUUAUGUAGAGUUUUCUGUUAAAGAACCGAUUGAGCCUGUGGUAAAAGAAGAAGAGCUGGAGCACCUUUUCCAUUAUUUGCAGAUCUCAAGGUGAUGCAAUGGGGAGGAUCACUGCUGGAAUUCUCGGGCCCCUUAAGUUUGAUAAGUCUCUUAGCCAGGGAACCAUCGAACAGCUGAGGAACUUUGGAACUGGAGGCAUGGACAAUAGUUUUCUCAACUAAUAGGUCAGCAGGCAGAUCAGUUUUAGCAGCGUCGGCACCCCUAGGACCCCUGGGACUCUAAUGUUUCAUGCAGUCUUGAAUGCGGCGUCCAAAUAGGCCCGGAAAGCGACAAUCGCCUUGCAACGGAUCGACAUUUCAGAAUCCAAUGCCAGAUGUGCGUACCUAACCAACGCUGGAAGAUGAGAGCCACAAUGAUGUGCGCCAUUUCUCUUCUGUGUGCAUCAGUUACAUGUUCCUUGGGGUAUAAAGGUGGAAGGGUGGAAUAAAGGGUGGUCUUGGAUUAUGUUUUGUAACUGGAAGGGUGGGUAGCAGCAGAAAAAAUUGUAGCUGGAAGGAUGCAAUGUAGGAGUGUGCUCGAAAGUAGGUCAUUUGGAAUUGUGGAAUUGUGUAUGAUUUGCACAUAGUGUUUUGCGCAUAAGGUUUUAUUUUUCGCUUA
Hordeum vulgare subsp. vulgare (domesticated barley) is the source of this 1606-nucleotide long non-coding RNA. RefSeq lists it as uncharacterized. NCBI's taxonomy places the organism in Eukaryota, Viridiplantae, Streptophyta, Magnoliopsida, Poales, Poaceae. The record is from RefSeq and is a predicted model, not a curated record. The transcript is spliced from 11 exons.